Molecule: long non-coding RNA, 1094 nt
Organism: Cyprinus carpio carpio
Lineage: Eukaryota; Metazoa; Chordata; Actinopteri; Cypriniformes; Cyprinidae
Source: Ensembl
GGGUGGGCAGUUACCAGAAGAGUUGACAAAAGUCUGCACUGUCUAUACAGAGUCCUCCCACCUAAACCCAGCUUACCCCUACCUCUCUCGCUCAUUUGCUCUCUGUGUGCUUUCAUUAACGUACCAGUCUAGGAGCAGUGAGCAGAAGUGUCCGGCCAGGAACCAUGGGCGUCAGUAGCAGUAACAGCGGUUUGUCUAGGCUCGUCUUCAUUGGCGCUCUGGCCAUCUGCAUGGCUUUUGUGCAGUCAGAAACAGUUGAUGAUUCCUCACCUACACUGAAGUAUGAUAAUCAGGACACACUAUCCGGUGCUGGAGGCUUCGAUGUGACAACAAAAAUCCCUGUUCAAGACCCCAAAGAAAACACCUACACUUAUGAUUAUGAAGAUGCUACAUACUCCAUAACCCUGGAUGAGGAGGAAGUUGUGCUGGGGCCAGGUGCCAUCACAGCAAUCGUCAUCGCCGUGUUCCUCGGAGCCUCUGUUCUUCUCGCUCUCAUUGUGAUCACACUCAGAAAGUUCAUUGCCUCUUAAGGGACAUUUAUGUGUUUUCAUUUCCUCCCUUCCUCAAUCCCAUCUCUUCUUUUAACUCUUCUCAAACUGUAUUUUCAAGUGUCUCGUUGGUGGCAGGUCCUUCGUGAUUUCUUACUCCUAUAAAACUGAAGACAGAGAAAACCAGAAUCAGGCUGAACAAAAAAGUAACUGCAAUCAAGAGAAAUUAUGGAUGCAUUUGUUUGGUGACCAUAUAAUCAAUGUCGAUAUCCUCUUGUAAUAAGGUUUAGACUGAAAUAUUUCAAGGUAGAAUUAUUAUAUUAGAGACACGUUUUAAGUUAUAGUUUAAUACCAUCCAUGUGCAACUAGGUUUUUUUCAUACUGUAUUUUAAUGUAUACCAAUAUUCUUGUCAUUCUAGAUUUGAGUAGAAUGAUCAUGUCCUUUAGAGUUUAAGAUAAAGUGUGUGUACAGUAUGAAUUAAGAGAAAUCAAAGCAGUCUUUCAGAGUGAGUGUUUUAAUUGAACUUUUAUACAUAAACAGAUGAAUCUGUUUGUCACCUUAUGAUUGGUCAUUGAACAGAUAAAGAGACAAUGUUUAAUCCUCUU